This is a long non-coding RNA of Magallana angulata, 348 nucleotides long. RefSeq lists it as uncharacterized. The transcript has 3 exons. The record is from RefSeq and is a predicted model, not a curated record. Lineage: Eukaryota; Metazoa; Mollusca; Bivalvia; Ostreida; Ostreidae.
UUUAAAAUUACAGAGUAGUUUUUGUAUAAAGCUUAGAUAUAAAUAAACAACGAUUUUAUAAAGGAGAGGAUUUACUAAGGCAAUGAAUGUAGGCUUUAUUCUCAGAAGGCUGACAUAUUGGAAGAUUUUUUGAGUCCUCAAAUCAAUGUAUAUGCUGAAGAAGAGUCGGAGGCAAUCUCGUACUAGCAUUAUAUCCUGUCACAUGUCUUCAAGGUCGAAUAUUUGGGUAUCGAUAUCAGUGGCGCAUGUACUGACAGCAAAGAAAGUGCAAGUAAACCUCUCCAGAUUUUUUGUCGUCAACAACAUACAUAAAAUCUGGAGUUCCAUUUGCAAAUUAAAUAAGCUUCA